Molecule: ribosomal RNA, 620 nt
Filed under: Porpidia melinodes
Lineage: Eukaryota; Fungi; Ascomycota; Lecanoromycetes; Lecideales; Lecideaceae
Description: LSU rRNA
Rfam family: Eukaryotic large subunit ribosomal RNA
Source: RNAcentral
ACUUAAGCAUAUCAAUAAGCGGAGGAAAAGAAACCAACAGGGAUUGCCUCAGUAACGGCGAGUGAAGCGGCAACAGCUCAAAUUCGAAAUCUGACCCCUUCGGGGCCCGAGUUGUAAUUUGUAGAGGAUGCUUCGGGUGCGGCGCCGGUCUAAGUUCCUUGGAACAGGACGUCAUAGAGGGUGAGAAUCCCGUAUGCGACCGGCGGUCAACCCCAUGUGAAGCCCCUUCGACGAGUCGAGUUGUUUGGGAAUGCAGCUCAAAAUGGGUGGUAAAUUUCAUCUAAAGCUAAAUACCGGCCAGAGACCGAUAGCGCACAAGUAGAGUGAUCGAAAGAUGAAAAGCACUUUGGAAAGAGAGUCAAACAGUACGUGAAAUUGUUGAAAGGGAAGCGCUUGCAACCAGACCUGCCCCCGGGCGAUCAGCCGUUAUUUUUAGCGGUGCACUCGUCCGCGAUCAGGCCAGCAUCGGUUCGGGCGGCCGGAUAAAGGCCUCGGGAAUGUAGCUCCCCCCGGGGAGUCUUAUAGCCCGAGGUGCAAUGCGGCCAGCCCGGACCGAGGACCGCGCUUCGGCUAGGAUGCUGGCGUAAUGGUUGUAAGCGACCCGUCUUGAAACACGGACC